Molecule: ribosomal RNA, 694 nt
Filed under: uncultured bacterium
Lineage: Bacteria
Description: bacterial SSU rRNA
Rfam family: Bacterial small subunit ribosomal RNA
Source: RNAcentral
AACGCUAGCUACAGGCUUAACACAUGCAAGUCGAGGGGCAGCAUGAUUGAAGCUUGCUUCAAUUGAUGGCGACCGGCGCACGGGUGAGUAACGCGUAUCCAACCUUCCGUACACUCAGGAAUAGCCUUUCGAAAGAAAGAUUAAUACCUGAUGGUAUGAUGAGAUUGCAUGAAAUCAUCAUUAAAGAUUCAUCGGUGUACGAUGGGGAUGCGUUCCAUUAGAUAGUAGGCGGGGUAACGGCCCACCUAGUCGACGAUGGAUAGGGGUUCUGAGAGGAAGGUCCCCCACAUUGGAACUGAGACACGGUCCAAACUCCUGCGGGAGGCAGCAGUGAGGAAUAUUGGUCAAUGGGCGCGAGCCUGAACCAGCCAAGUAGCGUGAAGGAUGAAGGUCCUACGGAUUGUAAACUUCUUUUAUAAGGGAAUAAAGUCACCUACGUGUAGGUGUUUGUAUGUACCUUAUGAAUAAGCAUCGGCUAACUCCGUGCCAGCAGCCGCGGUAAUACGGAGGAUGCGAGCGUUAUCCGGAUUUAUUGAGUUUAAAGGGAGCGUAGACGGGUCGUUAAGUCAGCUGUGAAAGUUUGAGGCUCAACCUUAAAAUUGCAGUUGAUACUGGCGUCCUUGAGUACGGUUGAGGCAGGCGGAAUUCGUGGUGUAGCGGUGAAAUGCUUAGAUAUCACGAAGAACUCCGAUUG